This is a long non-coding RNA of Eubalaena glacialis (North Atlantic right whale), 483 nucleotides long. RefSeq lists it as uncharacterized. The record is from RefSeq and is a predicted model, not a curated record. The transcript is spliced from 4 exons. Lineage: Eukaryota; Metazoa; Chordata; Mammalia; Artiodactyla; Balaenidae.
CCAAGGAGCCAGCCCAGGCCGUGCCCUACUGGGUAGCAGAAAGGCGCAGAGAAAGUCACAUCUGGACCUGAAGCCUUCAGGGUCUGAGAGUCAGUGUCUGGAGGUGACGGUGUACAUGCAGACCAUGGAACGUCAGCGCGUGAAUGAGCUGGGAUUUAUAUCUGUAACCUUGGCUGCUCUUUGGAGCUUGCUUGGAUUUUGAGAUAUAAAUUACACCUGUGAGUGUGUCCUGCUCCAGGACCUGUGUUAUUUAUUGUUUGAGCUUGAGGAUCACAGAGGAUCAGAUCUGGGGGACCAGGGUUGGGGUGGACUCCAUCACGUCCCACCUGUGCUUCACCACGGUCCUGUUGGGGGGACAUCAGUCCCAUUUUAUGGUUCACUCUAUACCAGCAAUUUUCAUUAUUUCCCAGAGGUGGAGAUGUUUCCAUGGUGAUGCUGGGAAUGGUGCAGGUACCCUCAACUCUGACCUACCUAAGGGACUUG